GCAAUAUUUUAAUUAUUGAGGGGGGCGAUACAUGUAAAAAAAAAAAAAAAUCUAUUUUUUUUUUUUCAUAAAUCGUUAGAUUAUCAUCUCAAAAAUAUGCCUGUAAAUUUUCAAAACGCAAUUAUCAUUAUUUAUAUAUUAAAAACUCAUUUAAGUGCUUCGCCUCAACUCGGCGCUUGAGCGCUAUUGAAGUCUGUAACUGA
This is a long non-coding RNA of Cotesia glomerata, 203 nucleotides long. RefSeq lists it as uncharacterized. The record is from RefSeq and is a predicted model, not a curated record. The transcript is spliced from 3 exons. Lineage: Eukaryota; Metazoa; Arthropoda; Insecta; Hymenoptera; Braconidae.